This 555-nucleotide ribosomal RNA is filed under the name uncultured Thermus sp. RNAcentral describes it as "bacterial SSU rRNA". It matches the Rfam family "Bacterial small subunit ribosomal RNA", at positions 32 to 564 of the family's 1533-position model. Lineage: Bacteria; Thermotogati; Deinococcota; Deinococci; Thermales; Thermaceae. The record is from RNAcentral.
AACACUGGCGGCGUGGAUUAGGCAUGCAAGUCGAACGGGAAAGCCCUUCGGGGUGAGUAGAGUGGCGAACGGGUGAGUAACGCGUGGGAAACCUACCCUUCGGUGGGGGAUAACAGGCCUAACGGCCUGCUAAUACCGCAUACGUCCUCGAGGUCGCAUGGCCUCCUGGAGAAAGGUGGCCUCUCCUUGGAAGCUGCCGCGGAAGGAUGGUCCCGCGUCCCAUUAGCUUGUUGGUGGGGUAACGGCCUACCAAGGCGACGAUGGGUAGCCGGCCUGAGAGGGUGUCCGGCCACACUGGGACUGAGAUACGGCCCAGACUCCUACGGGAGGCAGCAGUCGAGAAGCUUCGGCAAUGGGCGAAAGCCUGACCGAGCGACGCCGCGUGAGCGAUGAAGGCCCUAUGGGUUGUAAAGCUCUGUCAGAUUGGGAGGAAAACUUCGGGAUCAAUACCCCCGAAGCUUGACGGUACCAUCAGAGGAAGCACCGGCUAACUCCGUGCCAGCAGCCGCGGUAAUACGGAGGGUGCGAGCAUUGUUCGGAUUCACUGGGUAUAAA